This 595-nucleotide ribosomal RNA is filed under the name uncultured Bacteroidota bacterium. RNAcentral's name for it is "bacterial SSU rRNA". It matches the Rfam family "Bacterial small subunit ribosomal RNA", at positions 122 to 715 of the family's 1533-position model. The record is from RNAcentral. Lineage: Bacteria; Pseudomonadati; Bacteroidota.
CNACCUGCCCAUCACUUGGGGAUAACCUUGCGAAAGUAAGACUAAUACCCAAUGACGUCUCUANNNNNCAUCUGAAAGAGAUUAAAGAUUUAUCGGUGAUGGAUGGGGAUGCGUCUGAUUAGCUUGUUGGCGGGGUAACGGCCCACCAAGGCGACGAUCAGUAGGGGUUCUGAGAGGAAGGUCCCCCACAUUGGAACUGAGACACGGUCCAAACUCCUACGGGAGGCAGCAGUGAGGAAUAUUGGUCAAUGGGCGAGAGCCUGAACCAGCCAAGUAGCGUGCAGGAUGACGGCCCUAUGGGUUGUAAACUGCUUUUAUAAGGGAAUAAAGUGAGUCUCGUGAGACUUUUUGCAUGUACCUUAUGAAUAAGGACCGGCUAAUUCCGUGCCAGCAGCCGCGGUAAUACGGAAGGUCCGGGCGUUAUCCGGAUUUAUUGGGUUUAAAGGGAGCGUAGGCCGGAGAUUAAGCGUGUUGUGAAAUGUAGACGCUCAACGUCUGCACUGCAGCGCGAACUGGUUUCCUUGAGUACGCACAAAGUGGGCGGAAUUCGUGGUGUAGCGGUGAAAUGCUUAGAUAUCACGAAGAACUCCGAUUG